GAUGAACGCUGGCGGCGUGCCUAAUACAUGCAAGUCGAGCGAACAGAUGAGGAGCUUGCUCCUCUGACGUUAGCGGCGGACGGGUGAGUAACACGUGGAUAACCUACCUAUAAGACUGGGAUAACUUCGGGAAACCGGAGCUAAUACCGGAUAAUAUAUUGAACCGCAUGGUGCAAUAGUGAAAGACGGUUUGGCUGUCACUUAUAGAUGGAUCCGCGCCGCAUUAGCUAGUUGGUAAGGUAACGGCUUACCAAGGCAACGAUGCGUAGCCGACCUGAGAGGGUGAUCGGCCACACUGGAACUGAGACACGGUCCAGACUCCUACGGGAGGCAGCAGUAGGGAAUCUUCCGCAAUGGGCGAAAGCCUGACGGAGCAACGCCGCGUGAGUGAUGAAGGUCUUCGGAUCGUAAAACUCUGUUAUUAGGGAAGAACAAAUGUGUAAGUAACUAUGCACGUCUUGACGGUACCUAAUCAGAAAGCCACGGCUAACUACGUG
Molecule: ribosomal RNA, 497 nt
Filed under: uncultured bacterium
Lineage: Bacteria
Description: partial 16S ribosomal RNA
Rfam family: Bacterial small subunit ribosomal RNA
Source: RNAcentral